Molecule: long non-coding RNA, 998 nt
Filed under: Heterocephalus glaber (naked mole-rat)
Lineage: Eukaryota; Metazoa; Chordata; Mammalia; Rodentia; Bathyergidae
Description: lncRNA (ENSHGLG00000034011.1)
Source: RNAcentral
AUUUAGGAUGCACCUUGGAUGUCCACAGCUUUGUCUCAUUGUUUUACAAAGAGGGCCUGGGAAUAUGUGAGAGAAAGAGGGAACCAAAAAGCACCCAACAGAGGAAAAUUCUGACCUUGUAUAUGAGAAAGAAGAGUAAAUUGGGUGGGGAAUUUAUAAAGGUGAGAGUGGGCACUAGAAGAAGUGAGUCUAGAGGGAUGAAUUUCUAACUGCAAUAAAACAACUGCCCAACAGAGGAGGAGUGCAAUUCAACAGAUGUUUCCUGAGCUCCUAUAAUUGCAAAGCAAUACUUGUACCAGGUGUACCUUAAUAUCCUCCCAGAGAUGCAAGGCCAAGGGAACAGCAUAGAACUUCCAGUUGUCCACUUUUUUUUUUUUUUUUGUAUUUCAGGGCAAUGACCGCCAGGACUUUGGGAGAAGGGAUGAUGCUGAUAGCAAAGCCUUUCUUUCUUAUGGGGCUGAAGUGAAGUCAGAUGUGGAGUUGUGGGCACUGGAAAUCUAAGGAGAGGUUCCUAGAUUCUCACCUCCACAAACCAGUGCCUAUAGGGAGCAGAUGAAAAGCAAAACUUAGGGUGGGGAUAAGUUCUGCUCACCAGUGGCACCUCCAGACUCCUACUGCUAACUGCAAAAACACCAAGGCACAGCCCCCUGGGUUUGCAAAUGCUAGCAUUACAGCCAGCAACCUUGGGCCUGAGGAGCAGGGCAUGAGGAAGAGUGCCUGGACAGCCCACAGGCUCUGGAACUCUGCUGCAUCUCAUCUCUGGUCAGUAACCUCCUCCUUCCUUUGCAGCAGUAUGUGCCAUCACACACAGCUUUAGGGGGUCAAGGGCAUUCACAUUUUAAAAUCAUUUAUCAAAUUAAUAUCUAGAAAGUAUUUACUAAUGUUUUUUCUCAAAAUCAGGUAUUUUUAAAAUCAUUUUUGCCACUAAAAAGCAUCUCAAUGUGUUAUUUCCAUUUGGUGCUUUGUAAUUAGAAGGGAUGUUGAACUUUCCCCCAUAA